Molecule: RNA transcript, 2501 nt
Organism: Lycium barbarum (goji berry)
Lineage: Eukaryota; Viridiplantae; Streptophyta; Magnoliopsida; Solanales; Solanaceae
Gene name: DEAD-box ATP-dependent RNA helicase 1-like
Exons: 11
Source: RefSeq, a predicted model, not a curated record
AACAUGUGUGCUAUCAUGUUACCCUAAGCAAGUUAUCUAAAUUUUGUUUUACACAUGCAAUGACGAAUUUUUAAUGUCAUUUAUACCGCCGUUUUUGUGGGUGUGUGAGAGAUUUUGGAAAUUUUUGUUUGUUUGUUCGGAUUGAGGUAUGCAGGCUGAUGAGACGACGGCGAUGGUGGUGGUAGUAGAGGAAGCAGAGUGCCCUCCCUUUGAAACCCAAAUUCCUACUAACUAAACACCAGUUUAACCCAAAUCGGAGUUGAACUCGCCGUUAACUUUCUAUUUUCUUCUUCACUUCCAACAACUUUUGCUCAACACACAAUUUCCUUUAAAGGAUUUCAGCAGAGAAAAAGGGAAGCUUUCUAAUGGAGGAAGAAAAAGAGUUGAAGAAAGAGAAGAAAAACAUCCCUGUAUUGCCAUGGAUGAGAAAUCCAAUUGACAUUACUACCUUUGAUCAAUGUUCUCUUGAUCUUUUGCCUUUUAUUGACCCCAGGUUAGUGGCGGCUUUGAAGAAUAUGAGCAUCACUUCACUCUUUCCUGUGCAACUUGCUGUCUGGCAAGAGACAAUUGGACCUGGCUCUUUUGAAAGAGACCUUUGUAUAAAUUCACCUACAGGGAGCGGGAAAACUCUUGCUUAUGCAUUACCAAUUGUUCAGAUGCUGUCUACACGUGCCGUAAAAUGUCUUCGUGCACUAGUGGUCUUGCCUACUAGAGACCUCGCUUUGCAGGUCAAAGAGGUCUUCUCUGCUAUUGCACCUGCAGUAGGUUUGUCUGUAGGCUUGGCAGUUGGUCAGUCAUCAAUUUCUGAUGAAAUUUCUGAGCUCAUCAAGAAACCCAAUGUUGAUUAUGGCAUAUGUUAUGAUCCUGAAGAAUCCUCAUACGAGUUACAAAGCGCAGUAGAUAUAUUAGUGGCAACUCCUGGAAGACUGAUGGACCACAUCAGUAACACUGAUGGUUUUACCCUUGAACAUCUAUGUUAUCUUGUUGUUGACGAAACAGAUAGGUUAUUAAGGGAAGCUUAUCAGGCCUGGCUUCCUACCGUCAUUCAGUUGACCAGCUCUUCUAUUGAUGGGAACUUCCCUUCUGUUGAUGAUCUUCUUCCUUGCACUUAUGGUUCAUUGAAGACAAUCAGAAGAGUGGGCACAGAAAGAGGGUUCAAGGGAAAAGCCUAUCCAAGGCUUGCGAAGAUGGUUUUAUCAGCCACACUAACACAGGACCCAAGUAAGCUCGCUCAGCUUGAUUUACAUCAUCCUCUUCUUUUGACGACUGGAGAAAGACGUUACAAGCUUCCCGAAGAACUCAAAUCAUUUAAAUUGCUAUGUCAAUCGAAGCUUAAGCCACUUUAUCUAGUUUCUCUUCUUCAAAGUCUGCAAGGGGAGAAAUCAAUUGUUUUCACAUCAUCUGUGGAGUCCACUCAUAGAUUAUGCACCUUGCUUAAGUUUUUCGACAAUAUGCAAAUUGAGUUCAAGGAAUAUUCUCGUCUUCAACGUCAAUCUGUAAGAAGCAAGACGUUGAGGGCUUUCCGGUCGGGACAAGUGCAAGUGCUUAUUUCCUCUGAUGCUAUGACUCGUGGAAUGGAUGUUGAAGGAGUGAAAAAUGUCAUAAACUAUGAUAUGCCUGCAUAUAUAAAAACAUUUAUUCAUCGAGCAGGUCGAACUGCAAGAGCAGGCCAAAGUGGAUGUUGCUUUACGUUAAUGCAUAAAGAUGAGAUUAAGCGUUUCAAGAAGAUGUUACAAAAAGCUGACUGUAACUCUUGCCCAACCUAUUCUGUUUCUUCUGAAGUGAUAGAGUCACUCCGCUCUGUGUACACCUCAGCUUUGGAGAAACUAAGAGAGAAUGUUGAAUCAGAAAAGUUUAAGAAAAGCAAGAUUAGAUUGAAGUCAUCGAAUGUGAGAAAGGAGAAGUGAAAAGCUGCCCACUGCAAUAACUUCCAUUUUCCUAGACAAUGUAGUGCUCAGUUGCUAACCAGUUUAUGAUUAUUCCAUGGUUCAACUUGAGCUGCUCUGGAUUUAGUAUUGCCAUUUAGUUAAGGCGUAAGCUGAUAAUUUAUGAAGCUACCAGAUUCCAUUAGAUCCAUUUUGGUUCUAUGGGAGAGGAAGAGUCUCAAAGAAAAACUAGGAGGAGGGAGAAGACGCGAGAGUCGGGUAUAUUGAAGUAGGAGGGUCAACUGAUUCGCACAUUAGAAUUAAGUCUCUUGUUGUUUGGGAGGAAAGCACUUAAUUAGAACAAAAGAAAGAAGAGCUGCAUGGCAACCGGUUUAAAGAAGAGCUGCAUGGCAACCAGUUUAAAGAAGAGCUGCAUGGCAACCAGUUUAUCAUAUAUGGUAGGAAAGAGGAGCAAUAGGUUCUUUUGAUGUAAAGCUGUUCAAUUGUUUGUAUUAAAUAUGAAUUUUUCGACAUUCUUGUGUUCUGGUCUAAAUAGGUGUAGCUGAGUUAACUGAGCUAUAGCAUUUAUUUUAAGUUUGUAUAGUACUUCCUUAGUGCUUGUUUGUGGAAUAAAAU